CAACCUUGGUGUCAAGCGCGCACGCAGAAGAUGUUGGCAUGGAGCGCUGGGUCCCCAGUGGCUUCUUUUUCAGGAAACCCAGAAUCCGGAGCAGCUUACCAUCAUCAAGCCUGAUCUCAUCAGAUUUCAGAAGUUAAGUAGUCCAGGGCCUGGUCAGCAUUGGAAUGGAAAACCUCCAGAGAAAACCAGGCUGCCACAGUGGCGGAAUUAUACUAGACCAGUCCUGAUGUCCUAAACCAGUGCCCCAUUGUGGUGACCUGCAACACUACUAUUGAAAGAGUUGUCCUUCAUAUGAGAUGUAAAACUGAGCUCCUGAUUACAACCAUACUUCCAUUAAUGCUGCUUCUGUAAGCAAUGAUUCACAACGCAGCACCCUUUGUCCUGACUAUUAUUUUAAUUACCCCUAAAACAGUCCUGCCGAAAACACCUAGAGCACACUCGCUGCAGUUGUGCAGCCUGCAAAUAUUUGUGGUAAAGGCAAAAGUCAAUGAAAGAUGAUGCUCAAGCACCCAGCCAAUAAGAGUGUGAUCUGAGACAUUUGUUUACAGUUGGCCAGUGCCAUUUAAACUUGUGGAUGGAAAUGAAGA
This is a long non-coding RNA of Lepisosteus oculatus (spotted gar), 587 nucleotides long. RefSeq lists it as uncharacterized. NCBI's taxonomy places the organism in Eukaryota, Metazoa, Chordata, Actinopteri, Semionotiformes, Lepisosteidae. The record is from RefSeq and is a predicted model, not a curated record.